UGCUUACUAAGCCAUUUGAACUUUAAAGAGAAAAAAAAUAAAUAAAAAGAUUGUUGGUUAACUUCAUUUUACAGAGCAACAUUAAACACGCCACGCAUCAUUGCCACUACACCAUUCUUAGUGGUUAUGGUGCCAGGAGUGACAUCCCCAUUGUAAGGAGUCCAUAUCCAGUUUGGCUUUUUACCUGGGGUCUACCUGGCACAGCUUCCCACCUUCACUAUAGCAGAGAUCCAGAAGUUUUAAGUGGGAGAUUUUGUUAAUCUUGUCAGAGGCAGAAGCCCUGCACUAAAAGGGAUUAGCUCAUGAGUGAGCCGUGCUGCCUGGUUUAACCCAGGUAAAAAAAAAAAAACGGUUCUUUAUAAAAAUAAAAGUGAUUGGGAGGGGGGCAUUGCUGGUAUCAUAACCAGUAGUGCCCUUGAUGCUUGGAGUGUUUCUUUUAAUAGAAGAGUUAGACAUGCCAGUACUCUUGGUGUAAAGGUAUAUUACUCCUUGUUGAGAUAGCACUGGAUUAGUAGCAGUUACCCCUAAAGUUAUUUACUCCUGUUGAACAAAGUUGCACCACAAAAAAAAAAUUUUAAAAAAUUGACUUAACCAAUGUUAGCAGAGCAAUAAAACCUUGGAAACUUGGAAGAGCUGAGAACUACUCAGGACCAAUUGAAGCCGGAUUUAUUUAUUUAUUUUUUAAAACCAAACUGCUGAAUCUGUGUUGGAGAAUGCAGGUUCGCUGAGCAAUACUUCCCUAUAGAGCAGUGACUGUUAAUCCACUGCAGAUAUGGCUUAGAAUAUUUAGUAUUCUCUCCAGUUUGAUUGUCAUUGCUGGAUUUCAUAUGAAGCUUUGCCAAUAACCAUAUAUCCCAUCUGUAGUACACAAGAACUAAAGAAAAAGGUAGUGGAAUAAAAUUCAGUUACACAAUAUAUGAUUAUGAAAGCCAUUAGCGGGUAGCCAGUGCAAAGCUAGGCAACUAGUAAAAGAAUACCAAGAGGAAUUGCGCUGGUAUUUCAGCAAAAAGCUUCAAAAGAUGAAACUAGCUAGGCAACCCUUAGGUCACAAAAUGACUUCAAUCCUAUUAACCAACUCCACAAGAAAUGCAGUAGCCUUAUUAGACAAACCCCUAUUAAAUUCAAUUCACUAUUACUAAAGCAGUUUGAAAUGCCGGAUACAAAAUCGUAUCCAAACACUGUUGCUGGGAGAGUCCCAGAUUCUUAAUGGCCGCUAGCAUCAAAUGAUCUUUGCAGACCUUAACCAAUAAACUGGGUGUUUGGAGAAGGAAGGAGGGGGUACAUCUCAAAGAGUCAUUUCAAUCACCAAUAAAAAGAUUUUUUUUUUCCUCCAAGUGGAUUAGAGAUAAAGACAGUUUAGGAAAGGCAGAGAUGGGUGGAGCUACCCCGGUAUUUGUGACCCAACAUUUCUUUGAGAGGCUGAUCAAGUUAUAUUAAGAUUAUAGGUAUAGACAUCUUAACAGUUUUUGCAUGGAUCCAUCAAAAUCAGGGGCACCUUUAAAGAUCGGCCUAUAUAUUGCUUUGUCUUCUAGCAGUCUUUCUGAAAGAGCACCAGGAGGUGAAGUUAAACCUCUCUAAGGAGAAUCUAAAGGCUUAUGUUUUGAGCAGGGCACUACAUCGCAUUGGGUCAUUGCCUGAAUAGAUGGUGUGCUUCUAGAAUCUCAUGUGGUUUUACUAAUGGAAGAGUUUAUUACCAAAUAGCAGUUUAGAUUUGUUUAUUUAAGCAUCAGAACUCAAUAAAUUAUAUUCUGUGAUGAAAGUGCAUUGAUCUGUCAUAUGUUCUCUGCAUACAAGCUUUUCAAUUGAAUGAUCUGCCUGAUAUUAACCUAAACCUUUGGCACCUCUAUAAGAAUAGAAUUUUUAUAUGCAUAGUUUUUAGUACUUUCCUUUGCAAAUAGAUGGCAAGAUGGUGUAUGUAGGCAACCCUUAGGUCACAAAAUGACUUCAAUCCUAUUAACCAAUAUCACAAGAAAUUCAGUAUAAUCUUACUGCAGAUUAGUCAAAACAUUGAUAGCAAUGACACCUAAUCUAACGUAGAGGCAAGUUACAUUGUUUAGGCCAGUGUCCAUAUGAUGGCUUGCAGAGCUGUGCAUUAAAUGGUCACUGCUCUAAAAAUUACAAAGACUGAAAGUAACUUCUAUAAACUUGUGUAAUGUUCAAUUUACUAAAUCUUUAAUACACAUUUUAAAAGCAAUCUUUAGAUCUCAUGUCCGAGCAGUGUUGUAUCAGAAGACAAAAUCCCCACAAUGUGCAGCAAUCCAGUCUGCUCUGCCAGGUAGAAGUUGCAGCACACGAGACUUGUCGAGUUAAAUAAUCCAAGUGGGCAAUUAAGGACUUUUAUAUGAAAAAGUUUAGUUACAGAUUAAUUUAACAGUCAAUUCAACAGAAUGAGGGUUUAAGAAUUUGUUUAAACCCAUUUGAAGCCUAGACACACAUGAGAAAUACAAUGCUCUGGUUGGGAGCCUUAAACAUAAGCAGUACUUGCAUGGUCCCCGAGACAAGGGCCAAACAUGAUUUUAUGAAUUGGGAGUCCUAACUAGCUACCAGUGGAGGGAAAUACAUAGUGUUUUAUGACAUGUUGACCAUUUACAAACCAAUAUGUCUAGGUAACCCUCUAGUUACACAAAUUGCAUAAUCCUAGACGCUGAUAAAUGCUUAAAAAAAAUAAAAAAAGUUGCAUAUGAACAGAGGAAUACACCUGACCAAGGCAACCUAGAAAUAACAAGAGAUCGCACCUCUCACUUUACAUUCAACAAGCCCAUAAAUAAUCCACACGCCCCCAAAAAGUUAUACAGAUAUCAUUCAUGUAGGAAAAGCUUAGACAGAAUAGAAAAAAAAACCCACACAACCCACAAACUAACCAGUCUACAAUAAAAACUUACAUACUCUUUACUCAUUUGAGAGGCAUGUAAAUUAAAUAUGUAUAGCCCCAAUCAAAAUAAAGCAAUAAAUAAAGAGUGCAGCCAUUGCAAUAUACAAGCCCCAGAGGGGUCUUCAAAGACCCACCAACUAGUAAUUUUUUUUAGGACAUUCUCAAGCUGCACCUUACCCAUGAACUUCUGCUACCAGCCGAGCCAAAACAUAUUGCCUAAUAUUGCUUUGCAGUUUGUUAGAUGCCCUUUGGCAGUGGAAGAAUUAAUGAAAUGAAGUUUCAGUCAUUCAUCAGGAGAAGCCAAACAAAUGCCGCUAUACAGUGUAAUGGUUAAGAGACCGGUUCAUAAGUCCAUCUACAAAUAUGUCAAUAGAAAUACAAAGCUCUUUGUCAAUAAAAUAGCAUUUUAUCUCACAUUAAUACUGCUUAAAAGAAAUAUUCUGUACAUUAGCUUAACAUGAUUGUACGGUUUUGAUUGCCACAGACCCGUAUUGAUACAAAACUUUGGAAAGAUCAGAGUCCAGCAGUACAAAUUAAGUCACAACCUAUCUUUUCUAAUAUGAGAGGGCUUUAAAUGGCACAGACAAAAGGUGUUUAAACAGGAUUGUCUUAAUUAAUGGAUUUGUGAACUAUUCCUGUGCUUUAAAAUAAAAAUAAAAGAAAGUUAAAAAUGUAGGUCUGUGCAGAAUGUGUUUGACACAAGUUUUAAUUAAAAGGAUGAUUUAAAAAAAAAAAAAAAAAAGUCUUUGUGUAGAAAAGAUAACCCACCAAUAGUUAAUCGUUAAGGCUUGGAAUUUUAAAAUAAUGCCGC
Molecule: long non-coding RNA, 3683 nt
Filed under: Pelobates cultripes (western spadefoot toad)
Lineage: Eukaryota; Metazoa; Chordata; Amphibia; Anura; Pelobatidae
Source: RNAcentral